CUAGAGAUAGAAAGUUACUUCGGUACAUCGGUGACAGGUGGUGCAUGGUUGUCGUCAGCUCGUGUCGUGAGAUGUUGGUUAAGUCCCGCAACGAGCGCAACCCCUAUUGUUAGUUGCCAUCAUUCAGUUGGGCACUCUAGCGAGACUGCCGGUAAUAAACCGGAGGAAGGUGGGAUGACGUCAAAUCAUCAUGCCCCUUAUGACCUGGGCUACACACGUGCUACAAUGGUUGGUACAACGAGUUGCGAGUCGGUGACGGCGAGCUAAUCUCUUAAAGCCAAUCUCAGUUCGGAUUGUAGGCUGCAACUCGCCUACAUGAAGUCGGAAUCGCUAGUAAUCGCGGAUCAGCACGCCGCGGUGAAUACGUUCCCGGGCCUU
RNAcentral lists this ribosomal RNA (378 nucleotides) under uncultured Streptococcus sp. RNAcentral describes it as "bacterial SSU rRNA". It matches the Rfam family "Bacterial small subunit ribosomal RNA", at positions 1000 to 1382 of the family's 1533-position model. The record is from RNAcentral. Lineage: Bacteria; Bacillati; Bacillota; Bacilli; Lactobacillales; Streptococcaceae.